This 376-nucleotide unclassified non-coding RNA is filed under the name uncultured Bryobacterales bacterium. RNAcentral's name for it is "contains 16S-23S intergenic spacer region". Lineage: Bacteria; Pseudomonadati; Acidobacteriota; Terriglobia; Bryobacterales. The record is from RNAcentral.
UCCGGCUUAUCACCGGCAGUCCCACUAGAGUGCCCAACUGAAUGAUGGCAACUAAUGGCGAGGGUUGCGCUCGUUGCGGGACUUAACCCAACAUCUCACGACACGAGCUGACGACAGCCAUGCAGCACCUCGACUCCACUCCCUUGCGGGAUACCGGUGUUUCCACCGGCGUUGAGAAGCCGUUCGAGCCCAGGUAAGGUUCUUCGCGUUGCGUCGAAUUGAACCACAUGCUCCACCGCUUGUGCGGGCCCCCGUCAAUUCCUUUGAGUUUCAGCCUUGCGACUGUACUCCCCAGGCGGCAUAUUUAACGCGUUAGCUCCGGCACGGACAGAAUGAACUGCCCACACCAAACGUGCACCGUUUACAGCUAGGACUA